Molecule: long non-coding RNA, 1859 nt
Filed under: Cyanistes caeruleus (blue tit)
Lineage: Eukaryota; Metazoa; Chordata; Aves; Passeriformes; Paridae
Description: lncRNA (ENSCCEG00000005631.1)
Source: RNAcentral
GGAAAUGGGGAGAAAACGGGGGGAAAUGGGAAAAACCGGGAAAAAACGGGGAAAAAAUGUGAAUUUGGGGGGAAAAAUGGGGGGAAACGGGAAAAACGGGGAAAAAAUGGGGGGAAAAUGGGGAAAAAACAGGGAAAAAAUGGGAAUUUGGGGGGAAAAAUGGGGGAAAACGGGGAAAAAAUAGGAAUUUGGGGGAGGGGCGGCCUCGUCGUGCUCUUCGUCGACAGGUACGGGGGGGAAACGGGGGAAAACGGGGAAAAACGGGGAAAAAAUGGGGAAAAAAUGGGAAUUCGGGGGAAAAAAUGGGGAAAAAAAUGGGAAAAAAAGGGGGAAAAUGGGGGGAAAAUGGGAAAAACGGGAAAAAUGGGAAAAAUGGGGAAAAACAGGGGGAAAACGGGAAAAAUCUGGGAAUUCUGGUGGGAAAUGCGAGUUUUUCAGGGGGGUUUUGGGGUGGUUUUGGGGUUUUUUGGGUGAUUUUUUGUGGUUUCUGGGGUGGUUUGGGGGUUUUUUUUGUACUUUUUGGGGUUUAUUUUGUACUUUUGGGGGUUUUUUGGGUGCUUUUUAGGGGUUUUGGAGUGGUUUGGGGUUUUUUUUGUACUUUUUGGGGUUUUUUUUGUACUUUUUGUGUUUUUUUGGGUGCUUUUCGUGGUUUUUCGGGUGGUUCUGGGGUUUUUUUUUGUACUUUUUGGGGUUUUUUUGGUGCUUUUUGGGGUUUUUUGGGUGCUUUUCGUGGUUUUUCGGGUGGUUCUGGGGGUUUUUUUUGUACUUUUUGGGGGUUUUUUGGUGCUUUUUGGGGUUUUUGGGGCGGUUCUGGGUUUUUUUUGUAUUUUUGGGGGUUUUCUGGGUGCUUUUUUGGCGUUUUUGGGGUAGUUUGGGGGUGUUUUUUGUUCUUUUGUGGUUUUCCGGGUGCUUUUUUGUGGUUUUUGGGGCAGUUUGGGGGUUUUUUUUGUACUUUAUGGUUUUUUUGGGUGGUUCUGGGGUUUUUUUUUGUACUUUUUGGGGUUUUUUUGUACUUUUUGGGUUUUUUUGCGUGCUUUUUUGGCGUUUUUGGGGUAGUUUGGGGGUGUUUUUUGUACUUUUUGUGGUUUUUGGGGCGGUUCUGGGGGUUUCCUUGUACUUUCUGGGGUUUUUUGGGUGCUUUUUGGGGUUUUUUUUGUGCUUUUUGUGGUUUUUGGGUGCUUUUUUGGGGUUUUUGGGGCGGUUCUGGGGGGUUUUUUGUACUUUUUGGGGGUUUUUUGUACUUUAUGGGGUUUUUUGGGUGCUUUUUGGGGUUUUUUGGGUGCUUUUUGUGGUUUUUCGGGUGGUUCUGGGGUUUUUUUUGUACUUUUUGGGGGUUUUUUUGUGCUUUUUGUGGUUUUUGGGUGCUUUUUUGUGGUUUCUGGGGCGGUUCUGGGGUUUUUUUUGUAGUUUUGGGGGGUUUUUUUGUACUUUCUGGGGUUUUUUGGGUGCUUUUUGUGGUUUCUGGGGUAGUUUGGGGGUGUUUUUUGUACUUUUUGUGGUUUUUUGGGUGCUUUUUGGGGUUUUUUGGGUGCUUUUUGUGGUUUUUUGGGUGCUUUUUGGGUUUUUUUUGGUACUUUUUUUGGUUUUUUGGGUGCUUUUUGUGGUUUUUGGGUGCUUUUUGGGGUUUUCCGGGUGCUUUUCCGUGCUUUUCGGGGCCGUUUUUCCCCUUUCCGGCCUCCCCCAGCCCGAUUUUCCCCCCCAGCUAUGACGUGGUGUUCGCGGGGGGCCCCCGGGAGCUGCUGGCCAAGUUCCGGGGGUCCCGGGCCGGGGUCCUGUUCGCGGCCGAGGGUUUCUGCUGGCCCCAGGAGGGGCUGGCCCCGCUCUACCCCCCCGAGCCCCCCGGGGGGAAACGCUUCCUC